RNAcentral lists this ribosomal RNA (1533 nucleotides) under Triticum aestivum (bread wheat). RNAcentral describes it as "partial small subunit ribosomal RNA". Lineage: Eukaryota; Viridiplantae; Streptophyta; Magnoliopsida; Poales; Poaceae. The record is from RNAcentral.
AUGCACAGGCUCUCCCUCCUCCCCGCCGCCGCCGCAGCGACCGCCUUCAUUGACGCCGCCACGGCGCCCUUCCUGCUCCCCUCCGCCUCCAUGCCCUCCCUCCGCCUCGGCUCCCCCGCGCUCCUCGCCGCGCGCCGGCGCCCGCCGCCCUGGCUGCGCUGCGGCGGCGGGGCGAGGAGGGGCGCGUUCUGCACCCUCGAGGCCUCCAGGCGCGCGGACGGCGGGUCGGAGGACGAGAAGCGGGGCGGGGACGGGGCCCGCGCGGUGGCCGAGAGGAGGCUGCGAGGCGUCAGCGCCGUGGCGGGCAGCGGGGAGCUCCUCGCCAUCCCCGGAGUCGGCCCGCGCAACCUCAGGAAGCUCGUCGACAACGGCUUCGAGGGCGUCGCGCAUCUCAAGCAGCUCUACAGGGAUAAGUUCUUUGGAAAGUCGAGUGAGAAGAUGGUUGAGUUCUUGCAGAGCUCGGUUGGCAUCAAACAUAAGAAUCAUGCUGAGAGUAUCACUUCAUUCAUUAAAGAGAGUGUUGUUGAGGAGUUAGAGGAUACCAGCUCAUCUAAGCCUCCUCGGAAGAAGAGGCUAACCUUUUGUGUGGAAGGAAAUAUCAGUGUUGGAAAGAGCACCUUUCUCCAGAGAAUAGCUAAUGAGACUAUUGAACUACGUGAUCUUGUUGAAAUAGUACCUGAACCUGUUGCUAAGUGGCAGGAUGUUGGCCCUGACCACUUCAAUAUACUGGAUGCCUUCUACGCUGAGCCCCAAAGAUAUGCUUACACGUUUCAGAACUACGUGUUUGUGACAAGAGUUAUGCAAGAAAGAGAAUCUUCAGGUGGCAUCAAACCUCUCAGACUAAUGGAAAGAAGUGUUUUCAGUGACAGGAUGGUAUUUGUCCGUGCUGUUCAUGAAGCUAACUGGAUGAAUGAGAUGGAGAUCAGCAUCUACGAUUCUUGGUUCGAUCCUGUGGUGUCAUCGCUCCCAGGUCUUAUCCCAGAUGGAUUUAUUUAUCUAAGGGCCAGCCCAGAUACUUGCCAUAAAAGGAUGAUGCUCCGGAAAAGAUCAGAGGAAGGUGGUGUUAGUCUUGACUACUUGCAAGGUUUGCAUGAGAAACAUGAGAGCUGGCUGUUUCCUUCGAAAGGAGGAGGCCGUGGUGUAUUAUCAGUUAGUCAGCUGCCCACACAGAUGGAGGGCAACUUGCCUCCAGGGAUAAGGGAUCGUGUCUUUUACCUGGAAGGAGAUCACAUGCAUUCUAGUAUCCAGAAGGUUCCUGCUCUGGUCUUGGAUUGUGAACCUGACAUUGAUUUCAACAGAGACAUACAAGCGAAACGACAGUACGCGCAGCAAGUUGCAGAGUUCUUUGAAUUCGUGAACAACAAAAAGGAAGCUCCAUCCGAGCAAGCAAGCACUGAGAAGGACCGCAUGAAUCCAAAGAUCAUGUUCCCUAACAAAGGAGGUUUGUGGGUCCCUGAAGGUGUGCCGCCUUUCGCGGGCUCUGCAAUGAAUCUGGAUUUCAGAAGAGCCAUGUCUUCAUAUCUCCCAACUUAA